Molecule: ribosomal RNA, 460 nt
Filed under: uncultured bacterium
Lineage: Bacteria
Description: partial 16S ribosomal RNA
Rfam family: Bacterial small subunit ribosomal RNA
Source: RNAcentral
CCUACGGGAGGCAGCAGUGAGGAAUAUUGGUCAAUGGGCGCAAGCCUGAACCAGCCAAGUCGCGUGAAGGAUGAAGGAUCUACGGUUUGUAACCUUCUUUUAUAAGGGAAUAAAGUGAGGCACGUGUGCUGUUUUGUAUGUACUUUCUGAAUAAGGAUCGGCUAACUCCGUGCCAGCAGCCGCGGUAAUACGGAGGAUCCGAGCGUUAUCCGGAUUUAUGGGGUUUAAAGGGAGCGUAGGUGGAUUGUUAAGUCAGUUGUGAAAGUCUGCGGCUCAACCAUAGAAUUGCAAUUGAAACUGGUGGGCUUGAGUACAGGUGAGGUAGGUGGAAUUCGUGGUGUAGCGGUGAAAUGCGUAGAUAUCACGAAGAACUCCGAUUGCGAAGGCAGCCUACUAAACUGUAACUGACGCUGAUGCUCGAAAGCGUGGGGAUCAAACAGGAUUAGAUACCCGUGUAGUC